AGAGUAAGCCAGACGAUCGCCGGGAUGCUAUGGUAUCCGGGAGGAAAGUCCGAACACCACAGGGCAGGAUGCUCCAUAACGUGGAGUCACGGUGACGUGAAGGCAAGUGCAACAGAGAGAAGACCGCCUUUUGCUUCAGGCAGAAGGUAAGGGUGAAAGGGUGCGGUAAGAGCGCACCAGUGUUCCGGGUGAUCGGAGCAGCUGGGUAAACCCCAUCCGGUGCAAGACCAAAUAGGGAAGUGUCAGGGUGGCCCGCCCUGCUUCCGGGUAGGUCGCUUGAGGCCGUCGGUAACGGCGGUUCUAGAUGAAUGAUCGUCACUCUUUUCCGGGUAACCGGGGCAGAGAACAGAAUUCGGCUUACGGCUUACUCUAACC
RNAcentral lists this RNase P RNA (375 nucleotides) under Desulfobotulus mexicanus. Its description in RNAcentral is "Desulfobotulus sp. PAR22N RNase P RNA component class A". It matches the Rfam family "Bacterial RNase P class A". From Rfam's summary of the family: Ribonuclease P (RNase P) is a ubiquitous endoribonuclease, found in archaea, bacteria and eukarya as well as chloroplasts and mitochondria. Its best characterised activity is the generation of mature 5'-ends of tRNAs by cleaving the 5'-leader elements of precursor-tRNAs. Cellular RNase Ps are ribonucleoproteins. Lineage: Bacteria; Pseudomonadati; Thermodesulfobacteriota; Desulfobacteria; Desulfobacterales; Desulfobacteraceae. The record is from RNAcentral.